ACACCCCCCUUUGCUGGAUAACAUGAUAACAAAGAGUUUAACUCUCAUUGUUUUUUAACUUUACACUUUUGGUCUCCUGACAUCUGAGAGACUUUGUGGAGGACUAGAGAGUAGGUGGGGUGAGACACAAAGUAAUUGAGGUCAGGGCCCCGUCAUGCUGGGUACUGCUCAGAUACAAAAUCACUGAGAUCGGGGCCUCGACAGGCCAGGCGCUGCCCAGACACAGAGUCGCUGAGAUUGGGGCCCCAUCGCACCGGGCGCUGCCCAGACACAGAGUGAGAGACAUUCCUUGCCCCAUAGAUCUCACAAUCCACAAAACAGACAAAGGAAAGAUCAUUUCCCUGUUUUAGAGAUGGAGAAACUGAGGACGACCGUGGCAGCCGGCACCUGGGCAUUUGGCCCGAGCGGUCCUCAACCAGAACGGAAAGGUGCAUGACCACAGUGAAGUCUACGCCAUUGAACCUGUUGGUUCCCACUCUGUUCUGGUAGGGAUCCCGGGAUCUGACAUCAGGAAUCUGGUCAGAUCUCUGUGUGUUUUGUAAGCUGGAGUUGAAAGUGGAAAGAAAUCAAAACUCUGGUGGAAGUUGAUUAUGUCCCUUUUAAGACGGAGUCUCUGAGCUCUGCUGA
Gopherus flavomarginatus (Mexican gopher tortoise) is the source of this 627-nucleotide long non-coding RNA. RefSeq lists it as uncharacterized. The record is from RefSeq and is a predicted model, not a curated record. The transcript is spliced from 3 exons. Lineage: Eukaryota; Metazoa; Chordata; Testudines; Testudinidae.